GUGACGCAGCUAACGCAUUAAGUUCCCCGCCUGGGGAGUACGGCCGCAAGGCUAAAACUCAAAGGAAUUGACGGGGACCCGCACAAGCGGCGGAGCAUGCGGAUUAAUUCGAUGCAACGCGAAGAACCUUACCAAGGCUUGACAUACACCAGAACACCGUAGAAAUACGGGACUCUUUGGACACUGGUGAACAGGUGGUGCAUGGUUGUCGUCAGCUCGUGUCGUGAGAUGUUGGGUUAAGUCCCGCAACGAGCGCAACCCUCGUUCUAUGUUGCCAGCACGUAAUGGUGGGAACUCAUGGGAUACUGCCGGGGUCAACUCGGAGGAAGGUGGGGAUGACGUCAAAUCAUCAUGCCCCUUAUGUCUUGGGCUUCACGCAUGCUACAAUGGCCGGUACAAAGGGCUGCAAUACCGUGAGGUGGAGCGAAUCCCAAAAAGCCGGUCCCAGUUCGGAUUGUAGUCUGCAACUCGACUACAUGAAGUCGGAGUCGCUAGUAAUCGCAGAUCAGCAACGCUGCGGUGAAUACGUUCCCGGGUCUUGUACACACCGCCCGUCAAGUCAUGAAAGUCGGUAACACCUGAAGCC
This 586-nucleotide ribosomal RNA is filed under the name Microbacterium sp. Its description in RNAcentral is "bacterial SSU rRNA". It matches the Rfam family "Bacterial small subunit ribosomal RNA", at positions 843 to 1428 of the family's 1533-position model. The record is from RNAcentral. Lineage: Bacteria; Bacillati; Actinomycetota; Actinomycetes; Micrococcales; Microbacteriaceae.